Long non-coding RNA from Felis catus (domestic cat), 1456 nucleotides. RefSeq lists it as uncharacterized. NCBI's taxonomy places the organism in Eukaryota, Metazoa, Chordata, Mammalia, Carnivora, Felidae. The transcript is spliced from 6 exons. The record is from RefSeq and is a predicted model, not a curated record.
CACACAGACAUUUAUGGAGGAGAAGAACACGCUUUCAGCCUAAUAAUUCAUUAGAACUGGAAAACGUGUGGCUCAUGAAGAUAAAAGGUUGUAUACAUACACAUGUUUCUGGAUAUGCAUUGCCAUGAAUGAUGAGAAAGAAAACAUGACAAGAGGAAUUAUAUCCUUUACGAACACUCUAGAAUGCUCUCUGCAUCACAGAGAGUUUGGGCUUAUUGGACUUAAUGCCUCUUAAGGUUUCAUCCAAUUCUAUGAUCCCGUGACUUGCAAAACACCCCAGAUGUGAAAUAGGAUGCUUUGUUACCUAACGUCACUAAGGUGUUGGAUAGCAUUGCCAGAUGAUUUCCUAUCAUGACUGUGCCCACAUCUUUCUCCACCUUCCUUGCGUGGGAACACAGCACCAAGAAUAUUCUGCUGCUCUGUAGAUGAGGAAUGUACAUUUGAUGAAUGCAUGAAUGAACGGAUCAAAGGCAACGUAUAGAAUGAAAAUCCAGAUUGAAUUUGUUACACAGCUUCCGAGAACACUCAGGCCCGGCUUCCAAGUGCAAUCCUCCUGGCCGGGAGUCAGCAGCCCACGCACAUGCGCGCAGGGCGUUGCGCCAGGGCCGGUUCUUUGCCUGACCCUCUGCAGCCUCUGCUUUUCUGGAACUUGUGGUGCAGUGUCGCCUUCUCCGCGGGCACGUUCCGUGGGUUGCCCCAAGUGCACAGCCUCUGGCCGAAAUGCCAUCAUCUUAAAGGUGUUCCAGCUGAGCCAAUGUCUCCCAAACGCUUGCUCGCAACUGAGAAAAUGCCAAGCCAACUUUCUGCCUUCUCCUGUCCUACAUCCAGGCCUAUGAGAUUCCCUGGAGGAAAAAGACAGAAGCAAAUCCAUGUUUCUGCAAUUCUAUCUUCUCCUACCUGAGCCAGAGUCCCAGGAUCCACUCUCUCUGCUCAGCUAUCUAGACCUUAGAGGUACUGACCCUACUCUCUGCUCUUACCUGCCAGUGAGUAUUCCAUUAGUACUUUGGGUUCUCUAUACUUGCCCAUACCUUUGUAAAUAGUCUCUUUAUUAAACUUUCCUCAAAUUUCCCGAUUUCAGGGGUGUCAUCUCUUUCCCACCAGUACCAGGACCUGUAUAAAGUAAUUUAACACUACCAACAACUCAGGCCCUCCUGAGUCUCAUGAUGGUGUCUCUUGUUCUUCUGCUAACGUUUUAGCUCUGCCUAUCAAUCCCCUUUAGACAGUGGCUGAGUGUGAUGCUUAAGGAGAUGGGCUCCAGAACCAGACCAGGAGGUCUGUGCCACCAACCAGCAGUGUGACCUCGGGAAAUUUCCCAAACCUCUCUGUCUCAGUCUUCUCCUCUAUAAGUGGUGGAUAAGAUGCUUCCCUACCUCAAAGUCUAAUGGAGAUGAAAUGGCUUAAAACAUGUGAAACACUUAGAAUAGUGCCUGGUGCACAUUAAACCAUAAAUGCUGGU